Vidua chalybeata is the source of this 2630-nucleotide long non-coding RNA. RefSeq lists it as uncharacterized. Lineage: Eukaryota; Metazoa; Chordata; Aves; Passeriformes; Viduidae. The transcript is spliced from 2 exons. The record is from RefSeq and is a predicted model, not a curated record.
UGCCCAGCAGAAAAGGGUCAACAGCAGCUGAACAUGAGCCAGCAGAGUGCCCAGGUGGCCAAGGAGGCCAAUGGCAUCGUGGCCUGCAUCAGCAAUAGUGUGGCCAGCAGAACUAGGGCAGGGAUUGUACCCCGUACUCGGCAGUGGAUUCCUGUUCAGCCAAGCCAGGCUUCUUCCUCGCCUGCUUGACUUCUGACAUUUGGGAAUUGCCUGUUCCUUAAGAGGUGAUGUUUGAAAAGUGAUCAGCACUGAUGGACUCCAGCACCUGCAAAAAAAAAUUUCCAAGGCAACGUUACUGACUAAUUCCUUGAGCAUCCUGAAAUCUGCUUCCCUCAAGUCCAGAGUAUAGGUUUUGCUGUCAUUUUUCCUCCUGUCAACAGGGAUUUUAAACUCAAUUGCUUCACAGUUGCUGUGGCAAAGACAGCCACCAAUCUCCACUUCACUCUGUUGUGAUACUGUUUAGUUGGUAUGCUGGUGUUCAACCAAAAGUUAGACACAAUACUCUUGGAGGCUUUUUCCAACCUUAAUGAUUCUGUUAUUCUAACAGAAAAUGAAUGGAAGGUAAGGAACGACCCACUUCACAUCUAAUUACUCUUUUGGUGGAAUUCCCAGAGAAGGGAGAAAGCAUGGGCAAACCAUAGAGAGAUAUUAAGUCAAGAGCCUGUAAGUUUCAGCACUACCAAGACCUGAAGAAGUUCAUGUAGCCACCUUUGAAAGUAUCAGGGCCUGGGCAUAGCACCAAAAAUUGAAAUUCAAAUAACGCAAUAAGGAAAAACUAUUUACUACUUUUUCUUCUUCUGUGGAUGAAGAGACACAUAAAGCAAAGAAAUCUACAUUAAAAAUAAGGCUAAUUAAUUUGUGAGAGGGGAGAAAAAACAAAACAAAACAAAAAUAGACUCAGACUUCAUUACCCUGACAGCUUUUACAUUGAUGUACAUAGAAAAAAUGGCAGACAGAGCUACAAUGGUUUCCUCAGGAUCGCUGAGGGACCUGGCAAACUGGCAGUAAUAUCACCAGGACAGGUUGUCCCUGACAGUUAGCAGGCAUAGUGAUUCAGCACAGACUGUCAAUUAAAAUCUUUAUAUCACAUUUUCUAUCAUCAUAGCAGCAGGCCAGAAUUGAUAUCCAACAUUAAAGACUGAAAAAAGGGUUUUAAUUAUUCUGAAUUAACAGAGAGAUACUGUUUAUAAAAGAUUUAUUAAAAGCCUUCAAACAGAAAACUGGGGGAGAAAAAGGGAUGGAAAAAACACUGUUCCACUUUAACUUGCUCAGUGCUUUUUAUGGAUUUGGAAAUAUAUAUCAUAUGAAAAUAUUUCAGUUCUUGUAUGCUGAUACCACAUCUAGGACAUUUUGGGUGUUGUUUAGUGUAAAUAAAUAGUAGUUCCCUUUGAGGAGCAGUAAGUGCCCUCAAAUACUGGAUGGGCCAGUAUUUGAGAGACUGGUAUGGGACUUUGAACUCUAUACUCAUCAUCCCCAGCUCAGACCUCAAAGCCUGAUGCCCAGUUCCCCACAGGUACAGAAACACAAGGGAUGACCUCAGGACCCAGUGGCUGAGAAAAAGAAAAGGUUGUUCCUAAAAUGUCCCCUGAAAAUAGUGUCUCCCAAAGGCAGCAAUACUAGCAAGAUCAGGCUCAGCAAGCACAUGCAAACCUCCCAAGGCCAAAGCAACAAAGAGCCACCAUUCCAGGUCUCUGUAUAUGGGCAGGACUAACCCUGAGCAGGCAAAGGGAACAGAAAAAGGCAAUUUUCCCCCAGGUAUGACAGGAAACUUUCAAAAUCAGCUUUGGAUAAUUAAGGGUGGGCUGUGAUUCUUCACUGCUCAUUGGACUCAAGAAGGAUAUAGACACUGGCAUGAUACCUGCAAGGAAUGAGAGAGAAGAGGAUGCAAGUGGAGAAGAUAAAAUCAUUGCCAAAAAUGCCUCUCCUGGGUCCUUAUCCCCCCAGGUGCAUGUAGCUGCAUUGCAGGGUACAGAAGCUAUAAGCUUUCUGAAGCUAGGAAAUGUAUGGUGUUGAACAUUUACAUUUGGUAAGUGGAGGAGAGAAACAGAAGAGUGACUUCCCAGCACUCACUGGGCUUGUUUAAAUUGCUUUUCACCAGCACUAUCAGCUGAACAGAUCUGUGCUAAGACACAAGCAAAAGCUAUUAGGAUAAUAGCAUGUAUAUGCACUUCAGAGUGGUACUGGAAAGUAUUGGAAUAGGGAUUAACAUCAAUAUGGAGAUAUACAGAAAAAAGGAAGGAAAAAAUAGGUGGAUGUAUUCAGAAGAAUGAGUGGAAAUACAAAGUUCAGGAGGGAGCAGUUUUCUAGCGCACAACUGCACAGAUCAGCAAGUUAGAUGGUACCCAAACAAAAUAUCCAGCACUGAAAUUAACAAUCAGUAAAAAUAGCCCAGCAGAAAGAUGGAGAUUCAUUGAAACAUAACACAUUAUCAUAAGCAAUUAUUAAGUUAAUUUUUUAAGGAUAUCAAGAAGUAUCUUUUUAUAAAGUAUAUCUUUAUAUACUUCAUAUGCUUUAUAAUAGGAAGAACUGAAGAAUCUGUUCAGAAAUCAGUACAGUGACAUAUGAAUAAUGUUUGUGGAGUUCAAGGACCUUCUCUAAGUAGUCCAGGAAAAAACAAACAAACAAACAAA